Molecule: ribosomal RNA, 464 nt
Filed under: Vreelandella stevensii
Lineage: Bacteria; Pseudomonadati; Pseudomonadota; Gammaproteobacteria; Oceanospirillales; Halomonadaceae
Description: partial 16S ribosomal RNA
Rfam family: Bacterial small subunit ribosomal RNA
Source: RNAcentral
CCUACGGUGGCAGCAGUGGGGAAUAUUGGACAAUGGGCGAAAGCCUGAUCCAGCCAUGCCGCGUGUGUGAAGAAGGCCUUCGGGUUGUAAAGCACUUUCAGUGGGGAAGAAAGCCUUGGGGCUAAUACCCUCGAGGAAGGACAUCACCCACAGAAGAAGCACCGGCUAACUCCGUGCCAGCAGCCGCGGUAAUACGGAGGGUGCGAGCGUUAAUCGGAAUUACUGGGCGUAAAGCGCGCGUAGGCGGUCUGAUAAGCCGGUUGUGAAAGCCCCGGGCUCAACCUGGGAACGGCAUCCGGAACUGUCAGGCUAGAGUGCAGGAGAGGAAGGUAGAAUUCCCGGUGUAGCGGUGAAAUGCGUAGAGAUCGGGAGGAAUACCAGUGGCGAAGGCGGCCUUCUGGACUGACCCUGACGCUGAGGUGCGAAAGCGUGGGUAGCAAACAGGAUUAGAUACCCUUGUAGUC